Molecule: ribosomal RNA, 253 nt
Filed under: uncultured bacterium
Lineage: Bacteria
Description: partial 16S ribosomal RNA
Rfam family: Bacterial small subunit ribosomal RNA
Source: RNAcentral
UACGGAGGGUGCAAGCGUUAUCCGGAUUUACUGGGUUUAAAGGGUGCGCAGGCGGAUAUGUAAGUCAGUGGUGAAAUCUCUAGGCUUAACCUGGAAAUUGCCGUUGAUACUAUAUAUCUUGAAUGUUGUGGAGGUAAGCAGAAUAUGUCAUGUAGCGGUGAAAUGCUUAGAUAUGACAUAGAAUACCUAUUGCGAAGGCAGCUUACUACGCACAUAUUGACGCUGAGGUGCGAAAGCGUGGGGAGCAAACAGG